ACGAACGCUGGCGGCAGGCUUAACACAUGCAAGUCGAGCGGACCCUUCGGGGUCAGCGGCGGACGGGUGAGUAACGCGUGGGAACGUGCCCUUUGGUUCGGAAUAGCCCUGGGAAACUGGGAGUAAUGCCGAAUAAGCUCUACGGAGGAAAGAUUUAUCGCCAAAGGAUCGGCCCGCGUUGGAUUAGGUAGUUGGUGGGGUAACGGCCUACCAAGCCGACGAUCCAUAGCUGGUUUGAGAGGAUGAUCAGCCACACUGGGACUGAGACACGGCCCAGACUCCUACGGGAGGCGGCAGUGGGGAAUCUUGGACAAUGGGGGCAACCCUGAUCCAGCCAUGCCGCGUGAGCGAUGAAGGCCUUAGGGUUGUAAAGCUCUUUCAGCGGGGAAGAUAAUGACGGUACCCGCAGAAGAAGCCCCGGCUAACUCCGU
Molecule: ribosomal RNA, 431 nt
Filed under: uncultured bacterium
Lineage: Bacteria
Description: bacterial SSU rRNA
Rfam family: Bacterial small subunit ribosomal RNA
Source: RNAcentral